CAAUAGCGUAUAUUAAAGUUGUUGCGGUUAAAAGCUCGUAGUUGGAUUUCUGUCGAGUGUCUGUCGGUCUAUACAAAGUAUAUGAUCUGAUACGGCCUUGGCAUCCUCUUGGGGAACGCGUCUUGCUUGAAUGCGGGAUGUGGAAUUCAAGACUUUUACUUUGAGGAAAUUGGAGUGUUUACGGCAGGCUGCACGCUUUGAACACAUUAGCAUGGAAUAAUAAUAUAGGACCUCGGUUCUAUUUUGUUGGUUUCUAGAAUUGAGGUAAUGAUUAAUAGGGUCACUUGGGGGCAUUCGUAUUAACGCGUCAGAGGUGGAAUUCUUAAAUUGCGUUACGACGAACUACUGCGAAAGCAUUUGCCAAGGAUGUUUUCAUUGAUCAAGAACGAAAGUAUAGGGAUCGAAGACGAUUAGAUACCGU
This 421-nucleotide ribosomal RNA is filed under the name uncultured eukaryote. RNAcentral's name for it is "SSU rRNA". It matches the Rfam family "Eukaryotic small subunit ribosomal RNA", at positions 592 to 1018 of the family's 1831-position model. The record is from RNAcentral.